RNAcentral lists this unclassified non-coding RNA (345 nucleotides) under soil metagenome. Its description in RNAcentral is "partial contains 5.8S ribosomal RNA, internal transcribed spacer 2, and large subunit ribosomal RNA". The stretch from base 1 to 120 matches the Rfam family "5.8S ribosomal RNA", at positions 35 to 154 of the family's 154-position model. The record is from RNAcentral.
GAUGAAGAACGUAGCGAAAUGCGAUACGUAAUGUGAAUUGCAGAAUUCAGUGAAUCAUCGAGUCUUUGAACGCACAUUGCGCCCCCUGGUAUUCCGGGGGGCAUGCCUGUCCGAGCGUCAUUGCUGCCCUCAAGCACGGCUUGUGUGUUGGGCCUCCGUCCUCCUCCCGGGGGACGGGCCCGAAAGGCAGCGGCGGCACCGCGUCCGGUCCUCGAGCGUAUGGGGCUUCGUCACCCGCUCUUGUAGGCCCGGCCGGCGCUUGCCGACACAUCAAUCUUUUUUCCAGGUUGACCUCGGAUCAGGUAGGUAUACCCGCUGAACUUAAGCAUAUCAAUAAGCGGAGGA